AUUGUUUAUGAAUUUCAUUCACCUUUAAAAAGGGGGGGAAAAGUAAAAGAGAAGGAGCGGAGAAGUAGGAGGUGGUGAAGAAAUGGUGUGAGAGUUGUCAGAAAAUGGAAUGUAAUGUAGUUGGGAUGUAGAUUUGAGAAGAAGGUAGAAAAGAAAGAAGAAAAAAAGGAAUAACAACAGCCCACAAAGCCACGUGAUGCGGAACCGGAUACACCAUUAUGGGAGGGAAGCUUUGACGGUACACCGUCCCAAUCACACACGUUCACAUUUCGCAGGUGCCAUACCACUUUUCAUUCUAGCUUCACCCACACAACCCUAACCCUCGGGUAUGUAAUGUGCUUAUGUAACCCUAUGCCAAUUUCCCAUGCACUCAUAUUUUAGGUCUAAGAAAGUAUGCCUUCCAUCCUUCUAAGUUAUAACCACUAUACACAAUAACACACUUGUGUUGUGGACUAUUUGGAAAGAAAAAAAUACAUGAAACAAUAUUUU
Molecule: long non-coding RNA, 489 nt
Filed under: Glycine max (soybean)
Lineage: Eukaryota; Viridiplantae; Streptophyta; Magnoliopsida; Fabales; Fabaceae
Description: long non-coding RNA (GMAX_LNC003991)
Source: RNAcentral